RNAcentral lists this ribosomal RNA (253 nucleotides) under uncultured bacterium. RNAcentral's name for it is "partial 16S ribosomal RNA". It matches the Rfam family "Bacterial small subunit ribosomal RNA", at positions 524 to 776 of the family's 1533-position model. The record is from RNAcentral.
UACGUAGGGCGCAAGCGUUGUCCGGAUUUAUUGGGCGUAAAGGGCUCGUAGGCGGUUUGUCGCGUCGGGAGUGAAAACUCAGGGCUUAACCCUGAGCCUGCUCCCGAUACGGGCAGACUAGAGGUAUGCAGGGGAGAACGGAAUUCCUGGUGUAGCGGUGAAAUGCGCAGAUAUCAGGAGGAACACCGGUGGCGAAGGCGGUUCUCUGGGCAUUACCUGACGCUGAGGAGCGAAAGUGUGGGGAGCGAACAGG